This 254-nucleotide unclassified non-coding RNA is filed under the name uncultured Patescibacteria group bacterium. RNAcentral describes it as "contains 16S-23S intergenic spacer region". It matches the Rfam family "Bacterial small subunit ribosomal RNA", at positions 524 to 776 of the family's 1533-position model. The record is from RNAcentral.
UACGUAGGGUGCAAGCGUUAUCCGGAUUUAUUGGGCGUAAAGCGUACCGUAGGCGGUUUUGUAAGUAUGUGGUCAAAGCCUGGGGCUCAACUCCAGAGAGGCUACGUAAACUACUUAACUAGUGGAUUAGAGAGGUUGUCGGAAUUCUCGGUGGAGGGGUGAAAUCCGUUGAUAUCGAGAGGAACACCAAUGGCGAAGGCAGACAACUGGCUAAUUCCAGACGCUGAUGGACGAAAGCUAGGGUAGCAAAGCGG